This 253-nucleotide ribosomal RNA is filed under the name uncultured bacterium. RNAcentral's name for it is "partial 16S ribosomal RNA". It matches the Rfam family "Bacterial small subunit ribosomal RNA", at positions 524 to 776 of the family's 1533-position model. The record is from RNAcentral.
UACGGAGGGAGCUAGCGUUGUUCGGAAUUACUGGGCGUAAAGCGCACGUAGGCGGCUUUUUAAGUCAGGGGUGAAAUCCCGGGGCUCAACCCCGGAACUGCCUUUGAUACUGGGUAUCUUGAGUGUGGUAGAGGUGAGUGGAAUUGCGAGUGUAGAGGUGAAAUUCGUAGAUAUUCGCAGGAACACCAGUGGCGAAGGCGGCUCACUGGACCACAACUGACGCUGAGGUGCGAAAGCGUGGGGAGCAAACAGG